AGAAGUGUGUGGUUUUCGUUUUACAAAAACAGAGUGAAAUAUAGAGUAAGACAAAACAGAGUAAAAUUUGUGUUGUCCGAUCCUUAACAACUUUGAGAGUUCAAAGUUCUAUAUAAGAUAUGAGCCUCUCCACCUAUUGUCAAUUAGUUUUAGGUUGGAAGCUCACAGUCUAAUAUGGUAUUAGAUCCCAAUCUGCACAUACUCAACCCAAUCCACAUCGGUCCGACCCAAUAUUUGGCCCGUCGAUCCAUGCCCAAACAUAUAGAGAUCAAUAGCUGGAAGAGCCAUCAUCUCGAGUGAGUGUAUUAGGGAUAUUAUCUCACAUUAAAAAUUGAGUAGGAUCUUAAGUGAUAUAUAUAAGAUAUGAACCUCUCCACUCAUUGUCAAUUGGUUUUAGGUUAGAAGCCCAGACAAAGUGUUACACAAUCUGGUAGAAUAACUAGAGAACAUGAGGGAAAUUUAAAAUUUCGUUGCUCUCAGAAACCAUCAAAAUUUGAU
This 498-nucleotide small RNA is filed under the name Arabidopsis thaliana (thale cress). Its description in RNAcentral is "ATSL175360". The record is from RNAcentral. Lineage: Eukaryota; Viridiplantae; Streptophyta; Magnoliopsida; Brassicales; Brassicaceae.